UUAAGCGACUAAGCGUACACGGUGGAUGCCCUGGCAGUCAGAGGCGAUGAAGGACGUGCUAAUCUGCGAUAAGCGUCGGUAAGGUGAUAUGAACCGUUAUAACCGGCGAUUUCCGAAUGGGGAAACCCAGUGUGAUUCGUCACACUAUCAUUAACUGAAUCCAUAGGUUAAUGAGGCGAACCGGGGGAACUGAAACAUCUAAGUACCCCGAGGAAAAGAAAUCAACCGAGAUUCCCCCAGUAGCGGCGAGCGAACGGGGAGCAGCCCAGAGCCUGAAUCAGUGUGUGUGUUAGUGGAAGCGUCUGGAAAGGCGCGCGAUACAGGGUGACAGCCCCGUACACAAAAAUGCACAUACUGUGAGCUCGAUGAGUAGGGCGGGACACGUGGUAUCCUGUCUGAAUAUGGGGGGACCAUCCUCCAAGGCUAAAUACUCCUGACUGACCGAUAGUGAACCAGUACCGUGAGGGAAAGGCGAAAAGAACCCCGGCGAGGGGAGUGAAAAAGAACCUGAAACCGUGUACGUACAAGCAGUGGGAGCCUCUUAAUGGGGUGACUGCGUACCUUUUGUAUAAUGGGUCAGCGACUUAUAUUCUGUAGCAAGGUUAACCGAAUAGGGGAGCCGAAGGGAAACCGAGUCUUAACUGGGCGUUAAGUUGCAGGGUAUAGACCCGAAACCCGGUGAUCUAGCCAUGGGCAGGUUGAAGGUUGGGUAACACUAACUGGAGGACCGAACCGACUAAUGUUGAAAAAUUAGCGGAUGACUUGUGGCUGGGGGUGAAAGGCCAAUCAAACCGGGAGAUAGCUGGUUCUCCCCGAAAGCUAUUUAGGUAGCGCCUCGUGAAUUCAUCUCCGGGGGUAGAGCACUGUUUCGGCAAGGGGGUCAUCCCGACUUACCAACCCGAUGCAAACUGCGAAUACCGGAGAAUGUUAUCACGGGAGACACACGGCGGGUGCUAACGUCCGUCGUGAAGAGGGAAACAACCCAGACCGCCAGCUAAGGUCCCAAAGUCAUGGUUAAGUGGGAAACGAUGUGGGAAGGCCCAGACAGCCAGGAUGUUGGCUUAGAAGCAGCCAUCAUUUAAAGAAAGCGUAAUAGCUCACUGGUCGAGUCGGCCUGCGCGGAAGAUGUAACGGGGCUAAACCAUGCACCGAAGCUGCGGCAGCGACGCUUAUGCGUUGUUGGGUAGGGGAGCGUUCUGUAAGCCUGCGAAGGUGUGCUGUGAGGCAUGCUGGAGGUAUCAGAAGUGCGAAUGCUGACAUAAGUAACGAUAAAGCGGGUGAAAAGCCCGCUCGCCGGAAGACCAAGGGUUCCUGUCCAACGUUAAUCGGGGCAGGGUGAGUCGACCCCUAAGGCGAGGCCGAAAGGCGUAGUCGAUGGGAAACAGGUUAAUAUUCCUGUACUUGGUGUUACUGCGAAGGGGGGACGGAGAAGGCUAUGUUGGCCGGGCGACGGUUGUCCCGGUUUAAGCGUGUAGGCUGGUUUUCCAGGCAAAUCCGGAAAAUCAAGGCUGAGGCGUGAUGACGAGGCACUACGGUGCUGAAGCAACAAAUGCCCUGCUUCCAGGAAAAGCCUCUAAGCAUCAGGUAACAUCAAAUCGUACCCCAAACCGACACAGGUGGUCAGGUAGAGAAUACCAAGGCGCUUGAGAGAACUCGGGUGAAGGAACUAGGCAAAAUGGUGCCGUAACUUCGGGAGAAGGCACGCUGAUAUGUAGGUGAAGUCCCUUGCGGAUGGAGCUGAAAUCAGUCGAAGAUACCAGCUGGCUGCAACUGUUUAUUAAAAACACAGCACUGUGCAAACACGAAAGUGGACGUAUACGGUGUGACGCCUGCCCGGUGCCGGAAGGUUAAUUGAUGGGGUUAGCGGUAACGCGAAGCUCUUGAUCGAAGCCCCGGUAAACGGCGGCCGUAACUAUAACGGUCCUAAGGUAGCGAAAUUCCUUGUCGGGUAAGUUCCGACCUGCACGAAUGGCGUAAUGAUGGCUAGGCUGUCUCCACCCGAGACUCAGUGAAAUUGAACUCGCUGUGAAGAUGCAGUGUACCCGCGGCAAGACGGAAAGACCCCGUGAACCUUUACUAUAGCUUGACACUGAACAUUGAGCCUUGAUGUGUAGGAUAGGUGGGAGGCUUUGAAGUGUGGACGCCAGUCUGCAUGGAGCCGACCUUGAAAUACCACCCUUUAAUGUUUGAUGUUCUAACGUUGGCCCCUAAUCGGGGUUGCGGACAGUGUCUGGUGGGUAGUUUGACUGGGGCGGUCUCCUCCUAAAGAGUAACGGAGGAGCACGAAGGUUGGCUAAUCCUGGUCGGACAUCAGGAGGUUAGUGCAAUGGCAUAAGCCAGCUUGACUGCGAGCGUGACGGCGCGAGCAGGUGCGAAAGCAGGUCAUAGUGAUCCGGUGGUUCUGAAUGGAAGGGCCAUCGCUCAACGGAUAAAAGGUACUCCGGGGAUAACAGGCUGAUACCGCCCAAGAGUUCAUAUCGACGGCGGUGUUUGGCACCUCGAUGUCGGCUCAUCACAUCCUGGGGCUGAAGUAGGUCCCAAGGGUAUGGCUGUUCGCCAUUUAAAGUGGUACGCGAGCUGGGUUUAGAACGUCGUGAGACAGUUCGGUCCCUAUCUGCCGUGGGCGCUGGAGAACUGAGGGGGGCUGCUCCUAGUACGAGAGGACCGGAGUGGACGCAUCACUGGUGUUCGGGUUGUCAUGCCAAUGGCACUGCCCGGUAGCUAAAUGCGGAAGAGAUAAGUGCUGAAAGCAUCUAAGCACGAAACUUGCCCCGAGAUGAGUUCUCCCUGACUCCCUGAGAGUCCUGAAGGAACGUUGAAGACGACGACGUUGAUAGGCCGGGUGUGUAAGCGCAGCGAUGCGUUGAGCUAACCGGUACUAAUGAACCGUGAGGCUUAACCUU
RNAcentral lists this ribosomal RNA (2903 nucleotides) under Escherichia coli HVH 122 (4-6851606). Its description in RNAcentral is "bacterial LSU rRNA". It matches the Rfam family "Bacterial large subunit ribosomal RNA". Lineage: Bacteria; Pseudomonadati; Pseudomonadota; Gammaproteobacteria; Enterobacterales; Enterobacteriaceae. The record is from RNAcentral.